GUGUCAGCCGCCGCGGUAAGACGAACCGUGCGAACGUUGUUCGGAAUCACUGGGCAUAAAGGGCGCGUAGGCGGUGCGUCAAGUCUUGGGUGAAAUCUUUCGGCUCAACCGGAAAAGUGCCUGGGAUACUGACGCGCUGGAGGGAGAUAGGGGUCUUGGGAACUACCAGUGGAGCGGUGAAAUGCGUUGAGAUUGGUAGGAACGCCGGUGGCGAAAGCGCAAGACUGGGUCUCUUCUGACGCUGAGGCGCGAAAGCCAGGGGAGCAAACGGGAUUAGAAACCCUUGUAGUCC
RNAcentral lists this ribosomal RNA (292 nucleotides) under uncultured bacterium. RNAcentral describes it as "partial 16S ribosomal RNA". It matches the Rfam family "Bacterial small subunit ribosomal RNA", at positions 505 to 796 of the family's 1533-position model. The record is from RNAcentral.